CAAGUCGAGGGGUAACAGGGAAAAGCUUGCUUUUCCGCUGGCGACCGGCGCACGGGUGCGUAACGCGUAUGCAACCUACCUCUUACUGGGGGUAUAGCCCAGAGAAUUUGGAUUAAUCCCCCAUAGUACCAUUUUAUCGCAUGAUGAAAUGGUUAAAGGUUACGGUAAGAGAUGGGCAUGCGUCCCAUUAGUUAGUUGGUGAGGUAACGGCUCACCAAGACUCCGAUGGGUAGGGGUUCUGAGAGGAUGAUCCCCCACACUGGUACUGAGACACGGACCAGACUCC
Molecule: ribosomal RNA, 286 nt
Filed under: uncultured bacterium
Lineage: Bacteria
Description: partial 16S ribosomal RNA
Rfam family: Bacterial small subunit ribosomal RNA
Source: RNAcentral